Molecule: ribosomal RNA, 253 nt
Filed under: uncultured bacterium
Lineage: Bacteria
Description: partial 16S ribosomal RNA
Rfam family: Bacterial small subunit ribosomal RNA
Source: RNAcentral
UACGUAGGGUGCGAGCGUUGUCCGGAAUUACUGGGCGUAAAGAGCUCGUAGGUGGUUUGUCGCGUUGUUCGUGAAAACUCACAGCUCAACUGUGGGCGUGCGGGCGAUACGGGCAGACUGGAGUACUGCAGGGGAGACUGGAAUUCCUGGUGUAGCGGUGGAAUGCGCAGAUAUCAGGAGGAACACCGGUGGCGAAGGCGGGUCACUGGUCCGGUACUGACGCUGAGGUGCGAAAGCGUGGGGAGCAAACAGG